RNAcentral lists this transfer RNA (72 nucleotides) under Heterocephalus glaber (naked mole-rat). It matches the Rfam family "tRNA". Rfam says of the family: Transfer RNA (tRNA) molecules are approximately 80 nucleotides in length. Their secondary structure includes four short double-helical elements and three loops (D, anti-codon, and T loops). Further hydrogen bonds mediate the characteristic L-shaped molecular structure. tRNAs have two regions of fundamental functional importance: the anti-codon, which is responsible for specific mRNA codon recognition, and the 3' end, to which the tRNAs corresponding amino acid is attached (by aminoacyl-tRNA synthetases). tRNAs cope with the degeneracy of the genetic code in two manners: having more than one tRNA (with a specific anti-codon) for a particular amino acid; and 'wobble' base-pairing, i.e. permitting non-standard base-pairing at the 3rd anti-codon position. The record is from Rfam by way of RNAcentral. Lineage: Eukaryota; Metazoa; Chordata; Mammalia; Rodentia; Bathyergidae.
GGGGAUGUAGCUCAGUGGUAGAGCACUUGCUUAGCAUGCAUAAGACUUUGGGUUCAAACCCUAGUACUACAA